This 187-nucleotide ribosomal RNA is filed under the name uncultured bacterium. Its description in RNAcentral is "partial 16S ribosomal RNA". It matches the Rfam family "Bacterial small subunit ribosomal RNA", at positions 1315 to 1500 of the family's 1533-position model. The record is from RNAcentral.
ACUACAUGAAGCUGGAAUCGCUAGUAAUCGCGGAUCAGAAUGCCGCGGUGAAUACGUUCCCGGGUCUUGUACACACCGCCCGUCACACCAUGGGAGUCGGAAAUGCCCGAAGCCGGUGACUCAACCUUUAAGGAGAGAGCCGUCGAAGGCAGGUCUGAUAACUGGGGUGAAGUCGUAACAAGGUAGC